UUUUAAAAUAAAUUUAUAUUUUAUCUGAGACACAUUUAUUAUUGGGUGUUUGUUGAGUUCAAUAUAUUCAUAAUUGAUACUAGGAGAUGGUGUGCAACUCCUCAAUAUGGGACAUGUUUCCUCUAAUGUAUGUGUUGUCGAGUCCAAAAUAUAGAUAUCAUCAGUAGCUGGUCCGAGAGGAUGAUCAGCCACACUGGGACUGAGACACGGCCCAGACUCCUGCGGGAGGCAGCAGUGGGGAAUUUUUCGCAAUGGGCGAAAGCCUGACGGAGCAAUGCCGCGUGGAGGUAGAAGGCCUACGGGUCGUGAACUUCUUUUCCCGGAGAGAAGCAAUGACGAUAUAUGGGGAA
This 350-nucleotide non-coding RNA is filed under the name Cucumis melo (muskmelon). Its description in RNAcentral is "Bacterial small subunit ribosomal RNA". It matches the Rfam family "Bacterial small subunit ribosomal RNA", at positions 151 to 486 of the family's 1533-position model. The record is from Rfam by way of RNAcentral. Lineage: Eukaryota; Viridiplantae; Streptophyta; Magnoliopsida; Cucurbitales; Cucurbitaceae.